Molecule: non-coding RNA, 91 nt
Organism: Mycena epipterygia
Lineage: Eukaryota; Fungi; Basidiomycota; Agaricomycetes; Agaricales; Mycenaceae
Source: the annotation of a GenBank genome assembly
GCCUCUGUAGAUCAGCGGUUGAUCACCUGAGAAAUAUUCAUAGCAGGUUUCAUUUCUUCAGGAGCUAUGGGUUCGAUCUCCACCGGAGGCA